Molecule: long non-coding RNA, 368 nt
Organism: Drosophila hydei
Lineage: Eukaryota; Metazoa; Arthropoda; Insecta; Diptera; Drosophilidae
Exons: 3
Source: RefSeq, a predicted model, not a curated record
AAUUAUUUAAACACCAUUGGUGUAUCGCAGCAGCGUUGCUAGACAAAAAUUAUCGGACCUGUUGGUGGAUUAACGCUGUUAAACGCGGUUGUCCGUCGAUAAUGGAAAGUGCGUGAUUUCAUUUAUUAUCUUCCCUGGCGGACCAUUUCGAUAAUAAGGAGCCACAGAAAAGUAUUUGUCAUCGAAUAAUCAGAAGCAAAAACAAAGCCAAAAGGGGCGGACGUAAAGCGCUCGCAGCAGCAACAACAACUAAAACACAAGUGGCAGUGUUUGUUGGUGUCGGCAGAGAGGAAGAUAGCGUUCGCAUAUAUAUAUACAAUAUAUCAAUAUAUAUGUAUACGCGUGUGUGUGCGAGAGAGAGUGAGAGA